RNAcentral lists this small nuclear RNA (187 nucleotides) under Crocodylus porosus (Australian saltwater crocodile). RNAcentral describes it as "U1 spliceosomal RNA (ENSCPRG00005012253.1)". The record is from RNAcentral. Lineage: Eukaryota; Metazoa; Chordata; Crocodylia; Crocodylidae.
AAACUUACUUGGCAGGGCAGAUCCCAUGAUCAGUCUGGUUCACUGGUAGUACUGAUAGUUUCCCCAGAGUGAGGCCUGCCCUGUCCAUUGCACUCCAGGUAGGCUGAUUCCUGAAGGUUUCUUCAAUGCAGGAAAAUCAGUUGUACAGUUUUGUUGUAAUGAGGGACCAUGUGUGCGCUUUUCUCCU